RNAcentral lists this ribosomal RNA (730 nucleotides) under uncultured bacterium. Its description in RNAcentral is "bacterial SSU rRNA". It matches the Rfam family "Bacterial small subunit ribosomal RNA", at positions 771 to 1501 of the family's 1533-position model. The record is from RNAcentral.
AACAGGAUUAGAUACCCUGGUAGUCCACGCUGUAAACGAUGUCGACUUGGAGGUUGUGCCCUUGAGGCGUGGCUUCCGGAGCUAACGCGUUAAGUCGACCGCCUGGGGAGUACGGCCGCAAGGUUAAAACUCAAAUGAAUUGACGGGGGCCCGCACAAGCGGUGGAGCAUGUGGUUUAAUUCGAUGCAACGCGAAGAACCUUACCUGGUCUUGACAUCCACAGAACUUUCCAGAGAUGGAUUGGUGCCUUCGGGAACUGUGAGACAGGUGCUGCAUGGCUGUCGUCAGCUCGUGUUGUGAAAUGUUGGGUUAAGUCCCGCAACGAGCGCAACCCUUAUCCUUUGUUGCCAGCGGUCCGGCCGGGAACUCAAAGGAGACUGCCAGUGAUAAACUGGAGGAAGGUGGGGAUGACGUCAAGUCAUCAUGGCCCUUACGACCAGGGCUACACACGUGCUACAAUGGCGCAUACAAAGAGAAGCGACCUCGCGAGAGCAAGCGGACCUCAUAAAGUGCGUCGUAGUCCGGAUUGGAGUCUGCAACUCGACUCCAUGAAGUCGGAAUCGCUAGUAAUCGUGGAUCAGAAUGCCACGGUGAAUACGUUCCCGGGCCUUGUACACACCGCCCGUCACACCAUGGGAGUGGGUUGCAAAAGAAGUAGGUAGCUUAACCUUCGGGAGGGCGCUUACCACUUUGUGAUUCAUGACUGGGGUGAAGUCGUAACAAGGUAACC